AUACGUAGGGGGCGAGCGUUGUCCGGAAUGAUUGGGCGUAAAGGGCGCGUAGGCGGCCCGGUAAGUCUGGAGUGAAAGUCCUGUUUUUAAGAUGGGAAUUGCUUUGGAUACUGUCGGGCUUGAGUGCAGGAGAGGUAAGUGGAAUUCCCAGUGUAGCGGUGAAAUGCGUAGAGAUUGGGAGGAACACCAGUGGCGAAGGCGACUUACUGGACUGUAACUGACGCUGAGGCGCGAAAGUGUGGGGAGCAAACAGGAUUAGAUACCCUGGUAGUCCACACUGUAAACGAUGAAUGCUAGGUGUAGGGGGUAUCGACCCCUUCUGUGCCGCAGUCAACACAAUAAGCAUUCCGCCUGGGGAGUACAGCCGCAAGGUUGAAACUCAAAUGAAUUGGCGGGG
Molecule: ribosomal RNA, 397 nt
Filed under: uncultured bacterium
Lineage: Bacteria
Description: partial 16S ribosomal RNA
Rfam family: Bacterial small subunit ribosomal RNA
Source: RNAcentral